GGAACAGUGUGUGCCAGGGUGGGUUUGAAGAACAGCAAGAAGGCCACUGGGACAGCAGCUAGAAGGGAAGAGAAAUAGCUUCCAGAUGAAGAAGUGAAGCUGCCUGGCGCAUAGAUGUGUUCAAGUCUCCCUUCUUUUCGCUCAAGGAGAGUGAAGAGUGGAUGGUGCCAAUUCUAGCUGGGAGGAGUGAAGGACAGGGAGGGGGACGAUGAGGCAGGAGGAGACCACGCCGCCCUCCUGGGAGGGGGCUGACUCGACCCAGCUGGUUCGGGUGUGCACCAUCCUCACUCUCUCCGCCCUUCCAGGGCUGCACUGCGCCCCGCUCUCGGCAAGACACAGGGCGUUCAACUGCAGGACGAAGCGUCCCCAACGCGCACACCCGCCUCUGGAGACCCGAGUGUGUGCAGGAGGCCAGCCCCGCCGAAGCGCCGUCCAGGAGCUGCCGAAGCGCCUUCCAGGAUCUGCCGAAGCGCCGUCCGGGAUCUGCCGCCGCACGCAAGAGCCCAACCAUAGAGGACAGCGGGGGCACCUACUACCCGUGGAGAUCCCAAACUCCUCUCACCCCAGCCCCAAAGCACUUCUCCCAAUGCUGCUGCCGUGCCUGAAUCCCGCCCACGCGUGAGAAUCACUCCAUUAUUACAGAAGACCCCUGUCAAAUGCACACGCGUUAACCACGUGUUACCCAAGGACGACUCAGUCAUCCUUUAGGACUCGGUGACACAUUAGCACAGAUGAACCUGGCACUGAGGUGGGAUGAGGUGGGGGGAUCUUUUGGCCGCAGGUCAUUGAGGAUAUUGUUAUUACUGCAAAGACCACAGAACAUCCAUGGUUUAGUCACUUAUUCCUUGCCAGGAGCUUCGUCUCAUUGUCUCUUUUAAUAAACAAUAUUUUGAGAUCACUUUGUUAUAGUGAUGUCUGCUGGUUUCCCCACUGUAAAAUGACUAGUUUUCCCUUUGUAAUUAAUAAAUAUUUGGGAGGAGAUGCUCUGAGACUGUGACGUA
This 1001-nucleotide long non-coding RNA is filed under the name Pan troglodytes (chimpanzee). RNAcentral's name for it is "long non-coding RNA NONPTRT012220". Lineage: Eukaryota; Metazoa; Chordata; Mammalia; Primates; Hominidae. The record is from RNAcentral.